Molecule: long non-coding RNA, 492 nt
Organism: Mobula hypostoma (lesser devil ray)
Lineage: Eukaryota; Metazoa; Chordata; Chondrichthyes; Myliobatiformes; Myliobatidae
Exons: 3
Source: RefSeq, a predicted model, not a curated record
AUUUGGCUCUACAUGUCGUAAACUCAAUUGGUAUUGGUGAAAUUAAACUAAGAUAUUCAGUAAACAACAGAAUGAAUAGUAACAGAUUUUAGGAUAGGGGCAGACUGAUGAAAAGGUUCUACUGUGAAAAAAGGCAUACUUUUUCAAGACACUGUAUGUUGGGUAUCAUUGGAACAUUGUAAGAAGACAGAGAGGUCACAUUAGGACCACACAAGACUGCAGAAAGAUGGACUCUGGAACCUGCCUGACCUUCCACCAAGCCAGAAACAAGCCUGGUCAAGGAUGCAAAUGGAAUGGCUCUACUGCUUCGAAAUCCACGGUUUAAUUUUGCCAUUCACCAAGCCAACUGCCAUUAAAAGCAUUUCUGCAAACACCAGCACUUUUUGUGUUUUUCUUUGUCACAUUUAACUAGGUGAGGAUCAUUUAUCAUUAAUCAGAAUCAGAUUUAUCAUCACCGGCAUGUGAUGUGAAAUUUGUUAACUCAGCAGCAGC